This 202-nucleotide unclassified non-coding RNA is filed under the name Hevea brasiliensis (rubber tree). The record is from RNAcentral. Lineage: Eukaryota; Viridiplantae; Streptophyta; Magnoliopsida; Malpighiales; Euphorbiaceae.
AAAAAAAAAUUUUUCAUAUGUUGUCUUGUGAGAACAAAGUCAUUUCUGGUUAUGCUUGUCAAGAUUGGAGGAUUUGUCAUUUGAACAGUUGACUCACUAUUUUCUUAAAGUAGAUACUAUAGUCUGUUAUAUGGAUGCACUUUAAUGGAAAUAUUAUUCCUUCUAAAGAUUAAGAAAUGGUGCAUAGUUUUGUAUUUAAAUA